Molecule: unclassified non-coding RNA, 335 nt
Filed under: soil metagenome
Description: partial contains 5.8S ribosomal RNA, internal transcribed spacer 2, and large subunit ribosomal RNA
Rfam family: 5.8S ribosomal RNA (bases 1-120)
Source: RNAcentral
GAUGAAGAACGCAGCGAAAUGCGAUAAGUAAUGUGAAUUGCAGAAUUCAGUGAAUCAUCGAAUCUUCGAACGCACAUUGCGCCCGCCAGUAUUCUGGCGGGCAUGCCUGUUCGAGCGUCAUUUCAACCAUCAAGCCCCCGGCUUGUGUUGGGGACCUGCGGCUGCCGCAGGCCCUGAAAACCAGUGGCGGGCUCGCUAGUCACUCCGAGCGUAGUAAUACAUCUCGCUCAGGGCGUGCUGCGGUUUCCGGCCGUUAAAAAGCCUUAUUUACCCAAGGUUGACCUCGGAUCAGGUAGGAAGACCCGCUGAACUUAAGCAUAUCAAUAAGCGGAGGA